AUUUUUUAUAAAAUACUAUUUAUAAUGGCGGCAUUUCAUUUUAUUAAAGGAACCUGUUUUUUAAUCGAUAAUCCACGUUAAUUUUCACUUAAAUUAAAAAUUUAUAUACCGCCAUCUAAAACUAAUUUAAUAAUAAUAUUUAAAAAAAAAAAUAAAAAGUUAGGUCAAGGUGUAAUCUAUAUUUAAGUAAGUAAUGGGUUACUUUUAAAAAAAUUAAAGGAUUAUUGUAUAAUAAUACUUUUCGAAAAAGGAUUUAAAAGUAUUAAUAUAAUAAUAUUUCAUUACGAUUAAAAUAAUAAAUGUGUACACAUCGCCCGUCGCUCUUA
Molecule: ribosomal RNA, 326 nt
Filed under: Gladicosa pulchra
Lineage: Eukaryota; Metazoa; Arthropoda; Arachnida; Araneae; Lycosidae
Description: partial 12S ribosomal RNA
Source: RNAcentral